AACAGGAUUAGAUACCCUGGUAGUCCACGCCGUAAACGAUGUCGACUUGGAGGCUGUUCCCUUGAGGAGUGGCUUCCGGAGCUAACGCGUUAAGUCGACCGCCUGGGGAGUACGGCCGCAAGGUUAAAACUCAAAUGAAUUGACGGGGGCCCGCACAAGCGGUGGAGCAUGUGGUUUAAUUCGAUGCAACGCGAAGAACCUUACCUACUCUUGACAUCCAGAGAAUUUAGCAGAGAUGCUUUAGUGCCUUCGGGAACUCUGAGACAGGUGCUGCAUGGCUGUCGUCAGCUCGUGUUGUGAAAUGUUGGGUUAAGUCCCGCAACGAGCGCAACCCUUAUCCUUUGUUGCCAGCGCGCAAUGGCGGGAACUCAAAGGAGACUGCCGGUGAUAAACCGGAGGAAGGUGGGGAUGACGUCAAGUCAUCAUGGCCCUUACGAGUAGGGCUACACACGUGCUACAAUGGCGCAUACAAAGAGAAGCGACCUCGCGAGAGCAAGCGGACCUCAUAAAGUGCGUCGUAGUCCGGAUUGGAGUCUGCAACUCGACUCCAUGAAGUCGGAAUCGCUAGUAAUCGUAAAUCAGAAUGUUACGGUGAAUACGUUCCCGGGCCUUGUACACACCGCCCGUCACACCAUGGGAGUGGGUUGCAAAAGAAGUAGAUAGCUUAACCUUCGGGAGGGCGUUUACCACUUUGUGAUUCAUGACUGGGGUGAAGUCGUAACAAGGUAACCGUAGGGGAACCUGCGGCUGGAUCACCUCCUU
This 762-nucleotide ribosomal RNA is filed under the name uncultured bacterium. RNAcentral's name for it is "bacterial SSU rRNA". It matches the Rfam family "Bacterial small subunit ribosomal RNA", at positions 771 to 1532 of the family's 1533-position model. The record is from RNAcentral.